Paramormyrops kingsleyae is the source of this 136-nucleotide small nucleolar RNA. Ensembl annotates it as small nucleolar RNA SNORA15. The record is from Ensembl. Lineage: Eukaryota; Metazoa; Chordata; Actinopteri; Osteoglossiformes; Mormyridae.
GCAUGGCUGAAUUCUGCAUUACUCUGUCAGUGGUUUGUGCAGUCAGACACCAUGCGAGAGCAACGUCGUUCACUCGCUGUUUAGUGCAGUGGUGGCCUUCUCCCAUUUAGGCCACUGCACAGGAGUGAAUACAGUG